RNAcentral lists this ribosomal RNA (1236 nucleotides) under uncultured Halomonas sp. RNAcentral's name for it is "partial 16S ribosomal RNA". It matches the Rfam family "Bacterial small subunit ribosomal RNA", at positions 58 to 1323 of the family's 1533-position model. Lineage: Bacteria; Pseudomonadati; Pseudomonadota; Gammaproteobacteria; Oceanospirillales; Halomonadaceae. The record is from RNAcentral.
CAAGUCGAGCGGUAACAGGGGGUGCUUGCACCCCGCUGACGAGCGGCGGACGGGUGAGUAAUGCAUAGGAAUCUGCCCGAUAGUGGGGGAUAACCUGGGGAAACCCAGGCUAAUACCGCAUACGUCCUACGGGAGAAAGGGGGCUCCGGCUCCCGCUAUGGGAUGAGCCUAUGUCGGAUUAGCUAGUUGGUGAGGUAACGGCUCACCAAGGCCACGAUCCGUAGCUGGUCUGAGAGGAUGAUCAGCCACAUCGGGACUGAGACACGGCCCGAACUCCUACGGGAGGCAGCAGUGGGGAAUAUUGGACAAUGGGGGCAACCCUGAUCCAGCCAUGCCGCGUGUGUGAAGAAGGCCCUCGGGUUGUAAAGCACUUUCAGCGAGGAAGAACGCCUAGCGGUCAAUACCCGCUAGGAAAGACAUCACUCGCAGAAGAAGCACCGGCUAACUCCGUGCCAGCAGCCGCGGUAAUACGGAGGGUGCAAGCGUUAAUCGGAAUUACUGGGCGUAAAGCGCGCGUAGGUGGCUUGAUAAGCCGGUUGUGAAAGCCCCGGGCUCAACCUGGGAACGGCAUCCGGAACUGUCAAGCUAGAGUGCAGGAGAGGAAGGUAGAAUUCCCGGUGUAGCGGUGAAAUGCGUAGAGAUCGGGAGGAAUACCAGUGGCGAAGGCGGCCUUCUGGACUGACACUGACACUGAGGUGCGAAAGCGUGGGUAGCAAACAGGAUUAGAUACCCUGGUAGUCCACGCCGUAAACGAUGUCGACCAGCCGUUGGGUGCCUAGCGCACUUUGUGGCGAAGUUAACGCGAUAAGUCGACCGCCUGGGGAGUACGGCCGCAAGGUUAAAACUCAAAUGAAUUGACGGGGGCCCGCACAAGCGGUGGAAGCAUGUGUUUAAUUCGAUGCAACGCGAAGAACCUUACCUACACUUGACAUGCUGAGAAGUUACUAGAGAUAGUUUCGUGCCUUCGGGAACUCAAACACAGUGCUGCAUGCUGUCGUCAGCUCGUGUCGUGAAAUGUGGGUUAAGUCCCGCAACGAGCGCAACCUUGUCUUAGUGCCAGCUUAAGUGGGCACUCUAAGGAAACUGCGUGACAAACGAAGAAGUGGGAACGACGUCAGUCAUCAUGCCUUACGGUGUAGGCUAACAACUGGCUACAUGCAUAACGAGAAGCGGAACAGGGAUUGGAACGACCUAAGAAAGGGACUAAUUCGGAAUGGAGAUUCGUCAACUCUAAAU